RNAcentral lists this ribosomal RNA (460 nucleotides) under uncultured bacterium. RNAcentral describes it as "partial 16S ribosomal RNA". It matches the Rfam family "Bacterial small subunit ribosomal RNA", at positions 338 to 795 of the family's 1533-position model. The record is from RNAcentral.
CCUACGGGUGGCAGCAGUGAGGAAUAUUGGUCAAUGGACGCAAGUCUGAACCAGCCAUGCCGCGUGCAGGAAGACGGCUCUAUGAGUUGUAAACUGCUUUUGUACGAGGGUAAACUCAGAUACGCGUACCUGUCUGAAAGUACCGUACGAAUAAGGAUCGGCUAACUCCGUGCCAGCAGCCGCGGUAAUACGGAGGAUUCAAGCGUUAUCCGGAUUUAUUGGGUUUAAAGGGUGCGUAGGCGGUCGGAUAAGUUAGAGGUGAAAUCCCGAGGCUCAACUUCGGAAUUGCCUCUGAUACUGUUAGGCUAGAGAGUAGUUGCGGUAGGCGGAAUGUAUGGUGUAGCGGUGAAAUGCGUAGAGAUCAUACAGAACACCGAUUGCGAAGGCAGCUUACCAAGCUGCAUCUGACGUUGAGGCACGAAAGCGUGGGGAGCAAACAGGAUUAGAUACCCUUGUAGUC